CACGGCGCUCCUCAGACGGAUAGCAGAGGCGCCUGAGCCCGCUGACCUCUCCUACAGCCAAUCAUCAGCACAGGAAAAAGAACAACAACCAGGAAAUCAGGCCCAGAGGGGGUGAAUAACUUACUCAGGUCACACAGCAAGACAGCAGCAGAGGGCUUCGAACUCAUCCCUCAUUAUGACGGACAGGAUUGACACACCAGUCACGAAGCCUCUUCGUCUUCCUGUUUGCCUCUGUAUGUAACCUCUCACCCCCCGCCAACCCGCCCCCAAAAACCAGAGGGCCCAGCACGGGAGACUGGAGCAGACGGAGGGGACGCUGCCACACAUCAGCGGGACCCCAGACGUGCGCUAGAAGAAGACAUGCAGGAAGGGCAGCAGGUGCAGCGGCCGCGGCCGGCGCCUGGAGAGACGCUUGGGGCGGCCGAGCUUCCUCAGAGGAGCGGGAGCAUCUGUGUCGGACGCUGUGCCGGGCUCGACACGUUCCCUGUAACGUUCUUCAGGGCCCUUUAAACUGGGGCUAGAGCACCUCCUUUGAGGAGUGAAGAUACAUCUGUGACUUGCCCGAGCGCACAGCUGGGAGGCCAUGGGUUCGGGGCAGUCAGCCCGGAGCUGGGCCCUGAACCUCCGCAGUGCACUCGCCCUCAACACGGUGGCGUCCUCCCUGCUGCUCCUCUCCACCAGAGGAACAGGCGCUCUGGGCUGCAGCCGUCGGAUGCGGGAGGACUCAGGUGUCCACCCGUCCUGCCCUGGGUCUCCUGAGGGUCAGACGCGAUCCCCAGGCUGGGACGUCCUUCACCCCCACCCAGCUCCCAAUUCCUGCUUCUCCCAGAGACCCGUGUAUCCUCACCCCAAUAGUUGUACUUCCAGCUGCAAGCGGAGGCCCUGGGGGCAGGACACCGGCCCCUCCCUUCCAGGAGGGUCUGGGUGGGAGGCUGACUCAGGCUGGGGGCUAGGUCCCUGGUCUGGGAAGAGCCCGAGGGCCAGGUAGGGGAGUCCUCAGGCUCUUACUCACGCUCCCCCUCGCCCAGUGCUUCCUGGGAUCAGGCUGGGAUGGGCUAAUCCUCUGGGGACAGCUUGGUGACCUCUCCCUGGGGACGGAGAUCCUGGUGUUGAUGGAGGUCCUGGCACACCUGGCUCUCCAGAAGCACGAAUAGGUCCCAGAACCUUUAAAAGCCAGGGCCGUGGGCCUGCAAAGGCAUCGGGCUGGCACCAUGGACGCCACGCGGGUGCUGCUCCUGGGCCUGCAGGCCUUCGCCACACUUGCUCAGCUGAACCCAUGGAGGACAACAUCUGG
Molecule: long non-coding RNA, 1294 nt
Organism: Myotis brandtii (Brandt's bat)
Lineage: Eukaryota; Metazoa; Chordata; Mammalia; Chiroptera; Vespertilionidae
Exons: 3
Source: RefSeq, a predicted model, not a curated record